CAAGGGUAUUCAUCGUGAGGUGACAGGAUGGAAUGACGGAAGUCAGACGACGCCGUAGUAGUGAUAACUAACCGAUAUCAUGAAGAGC
RNAcentral lists this non-coding RNA (88 nucleotides) under Xenorhabdus koppenhoeferi. The record is from RNAcentral. Lineage: Bacteria; Pseudomonadati; Pseudomonadota; Gammaproteobacteria; Enterobacterales; Morganellaceae.